AGUGAACGCUGGCGGUAGGCCUAACACAUGCAAGUCGAACGGCAGCACAGUAAGAGCUUGCUCUUACGGGUGGCGAGUGGCGGACGGGUGAGGAAUACAUCGGAAUCUACUUUUUCGUGGGGGAUCACGUAGGGAAACUUACGCUAAUACCGCAUACGACCUACGGGUGAAAGCAGGGGAUCUUCGGACCUUGCGCGAUUGAAUGAGCCGAUGUCGGAUUAGCUAGUUGGCGGGGUAAAGGCCCACCAAGGCGACGAUCCGUAGCUGGUCUGAGAGGAUGAUCAGCCACACUGGAAGUGAGACACGGUCCAGACUCCUACGGGAGGCAGCAGUGGGGAAUAUUGGACAAUGGGCGCAAGCCUGAUCCAGCCAUACCGCGUGGGUGAAGAAGGCCUUCGGGUUGUAAAGCCCUUUUGUUGGGAAAGAAAAGCAGCAGGUUAAUACCCCGCUGUUCUGACGGUACCCAAAGAAUAAGCACCGGCUAACUUCGUG
This 492-nucleotide ribosomal RNA is filed under the name uncultured bacterium. Its description in RNAcentral is "partial 16S ribosomal RNA". It matches the Rfam family "Bacterial small subunit ribosomal RNA", at positions 29 to 507 of the family's 1533-position model. The record is from RNAcentral.